Molecule: ribosomal RNA, 536 nt
Filed under: uncultured bacterium
Lineage: Bacteria
Description: bacterial SSU rRNA
Rfam family: Bacterial small subunit ribosomal RNA
Source: RNAcentral
AAUAGAUACCCAGGUAGUCCACGCCCUAAACGAUGUCUACUAGUUGUCGGGGGGUAACUCCUUCGGUAACGCAGCUAACGCGUGAAGUAGACCGCCUGGGGAGUACGGUCGCAAGAUUAAAACUCAAAGGAAUUGACGGGGACCCGCACAAGCGGUGGAUGAUGUGGAUUAAUUCGAUGCAACGCGAAAAACCUUACCUACCCUUGACAUGCCACUAACGAAGCAGAGAUGCAUUAGGUGCCCGAAAGGGAAAGUGGACACAGGUGCUGCAUGGCUGUCGUCAGCUCGUGUCGUGAGAUGUUGGGUUAAGUCCCGCAACGAGCGCAACCCUUGCCAAUAGUUGCUACGAAAGGGCACUCUAUUGGGACUGCCGGUGACAAACCGGAGGAAGGUGGGGAUGACGUCAAGUCCUCAUGGCCCUUAUGGGUAGGGCUUCACACGUCAUACAAUGGCUGGUACAGAGGGUUGCCAAACCCGCGAGGGGGAGCCAAUCCCCACAAAACCAGUCGUAGUCCGGAUUGCAGUCUGCAACUCGA